GGCUCGUAGGUUGGUCACCUCCUGGCUGGCCGACUGGACCGCCCCAUCGAUGCGGAGCGCCAGCUGCUUAUUGUCUUCCAUCAUGCUCAGGAUUUUGGCCUGGGGGCGAGAGAGGUAUGUGUUGGAAACAGAGUCUCCAAUCAAACGUCCGUUAACACAUGCGUGGAUAAAUGAGUUGCAGUACAUCCAUGUGUGGAGUAUUAUUCAGCCAUGAAAAGUAGAUCGUUCUGACACAUGCUGCAACAUGGGCGAAGCUUGGAAACAUUGUGUCAGGUCUCCAGCUAUGAGAAUGUUGACAGUAUUGUGGGUUCUCCUUCAGGGUCCUUCCAUCUACAGCUUCCUGAAGUAGCCUCCACCUCACGCCCUGGUAAGAAGCCCCCGUUAGGAAUGGCUGGGGUUUGAAUGUGUCUCCCGAAGUUCACACAUGGGACCCAACACGCAUGUUGACAGUAUUUGGAGCUGGGGAACUUGGGGAGGAUUUAAUUAGCAUUAGGCGAGGAGGGUGGGGCCCGCACGAUGCAUGAGCAACUUCAUAAGAAGAGGAAGCGCAGCCUGAGCUGGUGCACCUGCUGUCUCACCGGGGGAUGCUCUUUGCCACGUGUUCAUAAGGCAGGAAGGGCCCGAGCAGAGGCCAGCACCUCCAUGCUGUGCUCCCCAGCCUCUGCAACCCUAAGGAACAACUUCUUGUCUCUGUGGGUUUUCAAGUCUUUGACAUUCUGAUAUCGCAACACCGCACCACACAGACUAAGACGAGAACCGAGCCAGGUCCACUUCGUAGGGAACCUGCUGCUCUGCUCUCCUUGUCGCUUGGUGCCGUCCCUGGCCACCCACAGAGCUCCACCCAAGGCUCGGGCACUGGCCCAUUCGCAGCCGCCAGCCUCUGCCAGUAUUUGCCGAGGGAGCAAACUGUGCCAUGGGCAUCUGGUGCCCAGCAAAGCCUGCCUGGGCAUCUUGCAAAGCCAGCAAAACCCACCUGCUUCAGGCUCAGGGGAAGGAAAUUCCUAACAAGAACCCAGGCGGAGAGCCCAGCCAGUGGCGCACUGGGCCGCCGUGGGCACUUCGCUUCUCUCGUGAACAGAGUGACCACAGUGGGGCACUUCUGAGAGAGAAAGGGGCACUCGGAACAAUGAAGCCAGGGUGUGUAGCACAAACCAGCGCUCCCAGGACACCCAGCAGGUGUGGCCGCCCUGCCCACGACUGCUUUACGCCGACCACUUUACGCCAACCCCUUUACGCCCUUUGGUCCUGGAAGACAAAGCGGCUCUGGGGCCUUCCUGUUCACUGAUGGUGACACAGAGCCCGGAUCCAGGGAUGGGCCACACAGCCAUGUCACUGGAGGGGCUGGAGAGGAUUAACAGCAGAGUCCCUAGCACGUGGCCCCCAUCUUCCUGCUGGGGUGCGUGGCCCAACUUCCUGAAUUACAGAUGAGGCAUUGGUGGGGAGGGGGGCGCGACGGUUGCCUUCUCAUGCACCCCCCCACCCUCUGCCGGGCUCGCUGCCCUCCGGCCGCUUCCUUCUUGCCAACCGCAGGCCCUUUCUCUGCCUUUGCUUUUUCUCUUGCUUCUGGAAUGUUCUUCCGGGCUCCCCGCGUCUGCUUCCUUCUCAUCCUGUCGAUUUAGCAUUCCACACCUACUUAUCCCGUAGCGUACAUCACUACUGAUGGGUGCCGCGGUUCUUUAUUCGUCAGUGGGGAACACUGCACUGACUUAGGAUUCGAGCGAUCGCUCGCCGUGAGGUCACUCCCAACCCUUCUGAUCCUGGGCUUCCCCAAGGUAAUCCUGCCUUGUCUGGGAUUCCGCGGCGUUCCCAAGAAUAAGUGAUCUUUUCUUGAGCUAAUUGGAUUCUAGCUAAAGCAUGCAAUAAAAUGCUCUGGCUGAAACUACCCCAGCCCCCACCACAUGCACCCACCCCCUGGACCACGUCUCCAGAGGCCACGCCUGCGUCCCCUGCGUCCUUUUGCUUUCGAUGCCUGGUGCUCAGUGACUGCUUCUCCGAGGAGUCGGUGGGCAAGUGCGCUCAUUUAUGCUGCUCAUCCUCCCAACUUCAUGUCCGCCACGACUUUGCUUCUGUCACCAAAGCCCUUCUCAUCUUGGGUCCUCCCAGGAACUCGAGUCGCGUCUUUAUUGCGCAAAAGUCUUGCCCAGCUCUCCUCUUGUUUGUUGCUUGCAACAGCUCUGCUGGGUGGAGAGGCGCUGGAAUUGGCAGAUUCAGUCGCUGAGGUUCAGGGAUUUGUCCUGCGUGCCCUUCCUCCUCCUGUCCCCAAGGGCUCCUCGUGUGUUUGUGUAGUGCAUGACUGGGGGCCAGGACUCGGAUGGCCCCAUGUGUGGCCCAGCCUCAUCUCUGACUCAAACAUGGGCACUGCUUCUGGCUAAGGCUAUGUUCGUGGGCUCCUUCCUGCAAGAGUGGCUUCCAGGAAUCCGUACGGGGAACAAGGCAGGAAAGGGGAGAUCGGAAAGAGAAGCCAGCAUGUGAAGGACUCAUUGGCCCCGGAGUGAGUGACCCCAGCAGCCCUGAUGCUCCCAAGAGUCAGCGUGCGGCUGCAGGAGCGUGGUCCUCGCUCUUGCAUUCCACUUCCUGCACACGCUGUCCCUUGCUGGGCCGUGGGAAGCACACCUCUAGCCCUCAGGCUGCUCCUGGAGAGAGAGGGUGAGGAGUCCCCGACACGGAAGCCCGAGAAGAAGAUGCGUGAAAAUGCAGACGCCCAGGCUCCACUCGUGACCUGGCUGAGUUCCUGGGGCAGCGCCCAUCGCCUGCCUCGGUUGCACUGGAGAGUCUGAUGAACGGUGAUGUUGGAGACUCGGCCAUCUAGGAACCGUGGGCGGUGCACACAGAGAACCGAGUGCAAGUGCAGGAAGCCUUGAACACACCAGGAGCCCUCUGGGUCUCUGGAGUGGGGGGGAGCGUCCCUGCCCCUUCUCUUCUGUCUGUCUCGUGUCGCUCACUCCCACCCACCCCAGCAUCCUUGUGGCACUGCGACCCUCUCUGCAGAUGGGUGCUCCGUGCAAUGAAACCGUCGCACGCGAGUCCCGGCCAGUUCAGGAGAGGAUUCUCUCAUACAUUUACACUGUUCACUGUGCCCAGGGGGUUUUCACCUGCGCUCUGGGGGCAAGGGCGGCGCGUCUCACAGUCAGCCGUCACCAGGUGCUCUGGGUGAGAAGACUCGGAGCCGGCAGAGACCCCAACAGCCAUACAUUUCCUCCCACCCCCGUCAGUCACUGUCAUAGCCGCAGUUACGAACCAAAAAGAAACCAGGAACCCAAGAGAGGGGUCGCAGAGAGGACUGGGGGGCUGGGAAGCUGGAGUCACACGCGCCUCCCCAGCCCCCUGCUCGCGGACGGCCGGAGUGAGGAUGGCUGGAUGCCUGCCGCCUGUGUCCACCUGCAACCCGCCCAGGCCCUCUGCGGACUUGCCACCUGCAAAUGGCCCUUUCACAUGAUCGCUUCCCAUGCCGAAGCCCCUGUGCGAGAACGAGAUAAACACACGCGCAAGGAGCCAGGCUGAUGCAGAAGUGAGCCCCGCCCCCAUCUUGAAUGAUCCUUGGCAUUUGGUGACUUUCUUUGUAGGGGUGUGUGUGGGGGGGAUCACAGGAGAACCUGUGGGUGUGACCCCCGACCCGUGGCCCUGUCACAGCAUCUGCGGGAGACUCAGGAACACAGCCAGAAAGUGGGAGCAAAAUAUAAAACGCGGAGGUGAGCAUCUCCCUGCAGAGCCACCGCUGGCUCCCCCAGAGAACCGCCCCACCCUGCGGCGCCUCGCCCAGCUCCAGCCCUCGCGUCUCUCGGUGCUGGGGGUGGGCGCGCGUUUCAUUUUCCAGCUCUGCAGUGGGAUUCCUGAGAAAUUCUGCCUGCACAGCUACAGAGGAUAGGGCCCGGGGUGGGCAUUCGGACUAACGGUGGCAACGUCACCUAGGGGCCCACAGCCCCUCUCAGAGCGCCUGAUCUCCAAUCCUGGCUCCACUCUUGAUCCCAGCUUCCCGCUUCUGCACACCCUGGAAGGCGGCGGAUGGUGGGUCAAGUCCUUGGGUCCCUGCCACCCACAUGGGAGGCCUGGGAGGAGUUCCCGGCUCCUGGCUGCAGCCUGGCCCAGUCCUGGCUGUUGCAGGAAUGUCCUGCAUUUGCCAGUUCUGGCAUUUGAGGAAUGAACCAGUGGAUGGAAGAGUCCCUCUCUCUGUCUCUGUCUCUCUUUCUCUCUCUCUCUCCCUCACCCAUUUCAUAAGUAAAGAAGUUAAUUAAUUAAUUGUCGCUCCCCCUCUUCAUGGAGGAACGAUACAGGACCCUGCGCUGUUCUUUCGUCUGCUCGGCCCUUCCCGGGUUUGCUGCUGGUUCUUCCCGGGUUGGCUACUGACCCUUCUACCUCCGUGGAAGGGCGGUUCCCCCUGCCACUUUCCCCACUUCCGCGGGGGAGCGGCACACCGCCGGCCGGCUCUCUUGGGGGCUGCUCAGGUGUUCCUUCAGAUAGAUGUUCCCCAGUGCAUGUUGUCUCUCUCCUCCUUUAUAGUCCUCUUCCACCAAUCCCAACUCUGCUACCCACACGCCGAGUACGCUGCUCUCCUCCAAUCAGGAGCAGGUCCUACAGUUUAUUGGUUGAACUGGAGGCAGCUGUGUAGAAGCUGUUUACUCCUCUCCCAGCGCCAUAUUGUGGGAGAGCAGAUGCAUAGAGUAAGUCUUAAUUCCAGUAACUUAGUCUAGUCCGAGUUGCUCCCCACAAUUAAUUACAGCUUUCAAAAUAUUUUUAAAAAGUAUUUAAAGAAAGAAAGACAGGGUCAAGCCUUCCAGACACCCCCAUACUCUGCAAAUCAGCUCUAAUUUCCUGUUUUGUGGGAGACCCCUUUCCACAGCCGUCGGGAGGGAGCAGGGCCAGCACGCAGGCUCUGGGGGCAGUGAGAUGUGGCUUCAAGCCGCAGCCCCAGCACCGGCUAGCUCUGUGACACACGGCUCUCCUUAGCGCAGUGAGAUACUCCCGCUGGCUUCCUUGGGAAUUAAAUGUGACAGAGGCCGUAAAGUACCUGGCAGAGAGCCUGUGGCCUGGGGAGGGCUUGAGGAACGUUUCUGAUGAUGGGGGGCCGCACACAGAGAGGCUGCGGCUGCUGCUCCUGGCGGCCCCUGCUCUGUGGGCAUCCGCCACCAUCUGCCACUGUGUUCCUCCGUGGUCUCUGCCACCUCGGGCCGGGCCCUCCCAACACUGAGGCCGCCACCAGGAAAGCACCGGCUCACGUUCUCGCCCGGCCAGAUUCAAGCUCAGGUGCACCCACCUUUUCCUCCCCCUUCCCCCUCCACGACAUGAAUGCAGGGGCCCGCAGGGUGGCACGUGGGGUUAAGUCACUGCUUGUGACUCCAGCACUCCACAUGGGAGAGCGGGUUCCCGUCCUGGCUGCUCCGCUUCCUGUCCAGCUCCCUGCUAACGCUCCUCGGACAGCAGCGGAAGGUGGCCCAGCUGUUUGGGCCCCUGCACCCCAUGGGAAACCUGAAUGAAGCUUCUGGCCCUGGUUUCAGCCUGGGCCACCCCUGGCUGGUGCAGCCUUUUGGGAAAUGAACCAGUGGAUGGAAAAACUCUCUCUGUGUCUGUCACUCUGCCUUUCAGAUAAAGAAGUAAAUGUGUGUGUGUACUAGUCUUUUUUUUUUUUUUUGGACAGGCAGAGUGGACAGUGAGAGAGACAGAGAGAAAGGUCUUCCUUUUUCCAUUGGUUCACCCCCAAAGUGGCCGCUACAGCCGGCACUGCACCGAUUGAAGGCAGGAACCAGGUGCUUCUCCUGGUCUCCCAUGCAGGUGUAGGGCCCAAGCACUUGGUCCAUCCUCCACUGCCUUCCCGGGCCACAGCAGAGAGCUGGCCUGGAAGAGGAGCAACUGGGACAGAACCGGUGCUGCAACUGGGACUAGAACCUGGGGUGCCGGCAAUGCAGGCGGAGGAUUAGCCUAGUAAGCCGUGGCGCCGGCCCGUGUGUAUUAGUCUUUUUAAAGGCACAGAUGGGGUCUCGUCCUCACACAGGUCGACGCCCCAAGGGACCUCUGUGUCCUUGCCGACCUGACGUCCUUCGUGGCCUCUACUGUGAGGAGGAGGGGCCGGGGCUGCUCCCUGAUGGCCGUGUGUUUGCUCUCCUGGUCCCUGGAGACCCAUUUGGUAAAUGAGUUCUUUUGGUUCAUAAAAUGACAUCGCAGUGGCUUGGAAUACUUCACAGAGCUCCCCUGAACGGGCCGUUUAUCCUUCGCCCCCGAUAGGAUUCGCAUUGCUGGGGACGCCGUCCUCUAAGAGCUGUUUUCUAGUUUCCAGGGGGAUCUGGAUUCCACUUGAAGCACAGGGCACCCGCGCUGGUCCCGGUUUCACACGCACGGGGACACUCAGGUCCGCUCCCGGCCGUUCACGCUCCUUCUCAGUCAUUUGUUCAGAGAAAUACUUGCGUCAUGGGAGUUUUCCACUCACUCCUACUCCAGCCCUCACCACGUGAGCACUUCUCUCUGCGACCACUGCUUUCCACUCCCAGGACGCCCCAUGCCCUGAGCAGAGCCCCAGCACCCAUGGGAGCAGAUGCUGCUCUGUGAAGCUCCCAGCCAGCGGCGUGAAGACCCCGACGGCUGCUGAUGAUUCGUGGCAAAGGGGUCUCGGUGCUCGCAGCACGCACUGUCCUGUUUCAGGAGCUGCAAAGGGCCUGGGAUCUCGCCAACUAAACGCAGCCAGCACAAGGUGCCCUGGGAAAGACAUGCAGUAGCCAAAUGGAUCAAUGGAGAAUGAGACCUGCAGCCACCGGCCCCUGCGUUCAGGAUUAACCGCCUGAGUAUAGAUGGAGAAGAGAGUGUAGACGACACAGGAGAGCUGUGUGGUCCAGCAGCCGACCCUUUGGGAUGACCGUCUGUAGCCGGUACGUGGGACGCUGCCGUAUUCCUCUGCAGGAGUGCCCUGCCUUGCUUUCUACUUUGAGCAAUGGAUGGCUCCACGUUGGGCACCACAUGAGCGCGUUGUAACUCAAGAGGGCGCUGCCGCUGCUUGGGGCUACACCAGCUACGUAAGGGACCUCGCAAGGUCCCUGGAGCAGUGGGCGCUUGGACUUGUAGCUGAGCCACCGGGCAGGAUGCCCAUGUCCCUCGUCGGAUGCCUGGACGCAGGUCCCAGCUCUGACCUGUGACUCCACCUCGGCGGGCAGUGGUGACGGCUCAGGUAGUUGAGGGUUUGCCACUCACGUGGGAGAGCUGGGUAAGUUCUCAGCUCCUGGCUUCAUCUCCCUAAGCAUGGUGGACAUGCAGAGAGUGAACCAGCAAAAGGGAACUCUAUGUCUGCUCACCUCUAUCUCUGUCAAAUAAAUUUUAAAUUUUUUUAAUUUCAUGGAAAAACGUAAUUAAAAGAUAAAUUUACUUUA
Molecule: non-coding RNA, 7349 nt
Organism: Oryctolagus cuniculus (rabbit)
Lineage: Eukaryota; Metazoa; Chordata; Mammalia; Lagomorpha; Leporidae
Source: RefSeq, a predicted model, not a curated record